RNAcentral lists this ribosomal RNA (497 nucleotides) under uncultured bacterium. RNAcentral describes it as "partial 16S ribosomal RNA". It matches the Rfam family "Bacterial small subunit ribosomal RNA", at positions 28 to 507 of the family's 1533-position model. The record is from RNAcentral.
GAUGAACGCUGGCGGCGUGCCUAAUACAUGCAAGUCGAGCGAACAGACGAGGAGCUUGCUCCUCUGACGUUAGCGGCGGACGGGUGAGUUACACGUGGAUAACCUACCUAUAAGACUGGGAUAACUUCGGGAAACCGGAGCUAAUACCGGAUAAUAUAUUGAACCGCAUGGUUCAAUAGUGAAAGACGGUUUUGCUGUCACUUAUAGAUGGAUCCGCGCCGCAUUAGCUAGUUGGUAAGGUAACGGCUUACCAAGGCAACGAUGCGUAGCCGACCUGAGAGGGUGAUCGGCCACACUGGAACUGAGACACGGUCCAGACUCCUACGGGAGGCAGCAGUAGGGAAUCUUCCGCAAUGGGCGAAAGCCUGACGGAGCAACGCCGCGUGAGUGAUGAAGGUCUUCGGAUCGUAAAACUCUGUUAUUAGGGAAGAACAAAUGUGUAAGUAACUAUGCACGUCUUGACGGUACCUAAUCGGAAAGCCACGGCUAACUACGUG